Molecule: unclassified non-coding RNA, 391 nt
Filed under: soil metagenome
Description: partial contains 5.8S ribosomal RNA, internal transcribed spacer 2, and large subunit ribosomal RNA
Rfam family: 5.8S ribosomal RNA (bases 1-122)
Source: RNAcentral
GAUGAAGAACGCAGCGAAAUGCGAUACUUGGUGUGAAUUGCAGAAUCCCGUGAACCAUCGAGUCUUUGAACGCAAGAUGCGCCCGAAGCCAUUAGGCCGAGGGCACGCCUGCCUGGGCGUCACACGUCGUUGCCCCCCCAUCUACUCCUUCGGGAUUGCGGGGGGCGGAUGAUGGCCUCCCGUGCGCCUCGUCGCGCGGUUGGCAUAAAUGCCAAGUCCUCGGCGACGCACGCCACGACAAUCGGUGGUUGCGAAACCUCGGUUGCCCGUCGUGUGCGGUCGUCGCGCAUCGAGGGCUCGAAAAAAUUGCCGGGCUCCGGCUCGGCUUUCAACGCGACCCCAGGUCAGGCGGGGUUACCCGCUGAAUUUAAGCAUAUCAAUAAGCGGAGGA